AGUGAACGCUGGCGGUAGGCCUAACACAUGCAAGUCGAACGGCAGCACAGUAAGAGCUUGCUCUUACGGGUGGCGAGUGGCGGACGGGUGAGGAAUACAUCGGAAUCUACUUUUUCGUGGGGGAUAACGUAGGGAAAAUUACGCUAAUACCGCAUACGACCUACGGGUGAAAGCAGGGGAUCUUCGGACCUUGCGCGAUUGAAUGAGCCGAUGUCGGAUUAGCUAGUUGGCGGGGUAAAGGCCCACCAAGGAGACGAUCCGUAGCUGGUCUGAGAGGAUGAUCAGCCACACUGGAACUGAGACACGGUCCAGACUCCUACGGGAGGCAGCAGUGGGGAAUAUUGGACAAUGGGCGCAAGCCUGAUCCAGCCAUACCGCGUGGGUGAAGAAGGCCUUCGGGUUGUAAAGCCCUUUUGUUGGGAAAGAAAAGCAGCAGGUUAAUACCCCGCUGUUCUGACGGUACCCAAAGAAUAAGCACCGGCUAACUUCGUG
RNAcentral lists this ribosomal RNA (492 nucleotides) under uncultured bacterium. RNAcentral describes it as "partial 16S ribosomal RNA". It matches the Rfam family "Bacterial small subunit ribosomal RNA", at positions 29 to 507 of the family's 1533-position model. The record is from RNAcentral.